RNAcentral lists this ribosomal RNA (326 nucleotides) under uncultured Bacteroidota bacterium. RNAcentral describes it as "bacterial SSU rRNA". It matches the Rfam family "Bacterial small subunit ribosomal RNA", at positions 28 to 351 of the family's 1533-position model. The record is from RNAcentral. Lineage: Bacteria; Pseudomonadati; Bacteroidota.
GAUUAACGCUAGCGGCAGGCCUAAUACAUGCAAGUCGAGGGGCAGCGCGAGUAGCAAUACUUGGCGGCGACCGGCGCACGGGUGCGUAACACGUAUGCAACCUACCUUUAACUGGGGCAUAGCCCCGAGAAAUCGGGAUUAAUACCUCAUAACAUUGCACGAUGGCAUCAUCAAGCAAUUAAAGUUCCAACGGUUAAAGAUGGGCAUGCGCGACAUUAGCUAGUUGGUGAGGUAACGGCUCACCAAGGCUACGAUGUCUAGGGGUUCUGAGAGGAUUUACCCCCACACUGGUACUGAGACACGGACCAGACACCUACGGGUGGCUG